UUUAGUUACUACAAUUUGCCUUUUGCAUAAGGAGUUUACCAGUUAUUUUAUGAAGCAAAGCUAAGUUUUAUAAAAAACAAGCUUGUUUAAAGUUACAUAAAAUAAACCCGAAACAUUCGCGAGCUAUAAAAAGCCUAGCUUUAUUUAAUUAUAAAAUUUUAUUUGUCUAAUUAAAAAUUUCCAAGGCUUAAGUUAUAUGUGGAGCAAAACAUUAAUAAGAGCUUUUUAUAGAAGUGAAAAGCUAAACGAGCAAUGAAAUAUCUGGCUGUUUGUGAAAUGAGCUUUAGUUCAGUUGUAUUUUUUUUUAACAUUUAAGGUAGAGCUCUAAUUAAUU
RNAcentral lists this ribosomal RNA (334 nucleotides) under Porphyridium aerugineum. RNAcentral's name for it is "partial Bacterial large subunit ribosomal RNA". It matches the Rfam family "Bacterial large subunit ribosomal RNA", at positions 586 to 919 of the family's 2925-position model. Lineage: Eukaryota; Rhodophyta; Bangiophyceae; Porphyridiales; Porphyridiaceae. The record is from RNAcentral.